Molecule: ribosomal RNA, 496 nt
Filed under: uncultured bacterium
Lineage: Bacteria
Description: partial 16S ribosomal RNA
Rfam family: Bacterial small subunit ribosomal RNA
Source: RNAcentral
GAUGAACGCUGGCGGCGUGCCUAAUACAUGCAAGUCGAGCGAACAGACGAGGAGCUUGCUCCUCUGACGUUAGCGGCGGACGGGUGAGUAACACGUGGAUAACCUACCUAUAAGACUGGGAUAACUUCGGGAAACCGGAGCUAAUACCGGAUAAUAUAUUGAGCCGCAUGGUUCAAUAGUGAAAGACGGUUUUGCUGUCACUUAUAGAUGGAUCCGCGCCGCAUUAGCUAGUUGGUAAGGUAACGGCUUACCAAGGCAACGAUGCGUAGCCGACCUGAGAGGGUGAUCGGCCACACUGGAACUGAGACACGGUCCAGACCCCUACGGGAGGCAGCAGUAGGGAAUCUUCCGCAAUGGGCGAAAGCCUGACGGAGCAACGCCGCGUGAGUGAUGAAGGUCUUCGGAUCGUAAAACUCUGUUAUUAGGGAAGAACAAAUGUGUAAGUAACUAUGCACGUCUUGACGGUACCUAAUCAGAAAGCCACGGCUAACUACGU